RNAcentral lists this ribosomal RNA (584 nucleotides) under uncultured fungus. RNAcentral's name for it is "eukaryotic LSU rRNA". The stretch from base 218 to 371 matches the Rfam family "5.8S ribosomal RNA". The record is from RNAcentral. Lineage: Eukaryota; Fungi.
CUUGGUCAUUUAGAGGAAGUAAAAGUCGUAACAAGGUCUCCGUAGGUGAACCAGCGGAGGGAUCAUUACCGAGUUUACAACUCCCAAACCCCUGUGAACAUACCUAUACGUUGCCUCGGCGGAUCAGCCCGCGCCCCGUAAAACGGGACGGCCCGCCCGAGGACCCCUAAACUCUGUUUUUGGUGGAACUUCUGAGUAUAACAAACAAAUAAAUCAAAACUUUCAGCAACGGAUCUCUUGGUUCUGGCAUCGAUGAAGAACGCAGCAAAAUGCGAUAAGUAAUGUGAAUUGCAGAAUUCAGUGAAUCAUCGAAUCUUUGAACGCACAUUGCGCCCGCCAGUAUUCUGGCGGGCAUGCCUGUUCGAGCGUCAUUUCAACCCUCAAGCUCAGCUUGGUGUUGGGACUCGCGGUAACCCGCGUUCCCCAAAUCGAUUGGCGGUCACGUCGAGCUUCCAUAGCGUAGUAAUCAUACACCUCGUUACUGGUAAUCGUCGCGGCCACGCCGUUAAACCCCAACUUCUGAAUGUUGACCUCGGAUCAGGUAGGAAUACCCGCUGAACUUAAGCAUAUCAAUAAGCGGAGGA